AGCGAACGCUGGCGGCAGGCUUAACACAUGCAAGUCGAGCGCCGUAGCAAUACGGAGCGGCAGACGGGUGAGUAACACGUGGGAACGUACCUUUUGGUUCGGAACAACACAGGGAAACUUGUGCUAAUACCGGAUAAGCCCUUACGGGGAAAGAUUUAUCGCCGAAAGAUCGGCCCGCGUCUGAUUAGCUAGUUGGUGAGGUAACGGCUCACCAAGGCGACGAUCAGUAGCUGGUCUGAGAGGAUGAUCAGCCACACUGGGACUGAGACACGGCCCAGACUCCUACGGGAGGCAGCAGUGGGGAAUAUUGGACAAUGGGCGCAAGCCUGAUCCAGCCAUGCCGCGUGAGUGAUGAAGGCCCUAGGGUUGUAAAGCUCUUUUGUGCGGGAAGAUAAUGACUGUACCGCAAGAAUAAGCCCCGGCUAACUUCGUGCCAGCAGCCGCGGUAA
This 449-nucleotide ribosomal RNA is filed under the name uncultured bacterium. RNAcentral's name for it is "partial 16S ribosomal RNA". It matches the Rfam family "Bacterial small subunit ribosomal RNA", at positions 29 to 523 of the family's 1533-position model. The record is from RNAcentral.